This 200-nucleotide ribosomal RNA is filed under the name uncultured bacterium. RNAcentral's name for it is "partial 16S ribosomal RNA". It matches the Rfam family "Bacterial small subunit ribosomal RNA", at positions 307 to 526 of the family's 1533-position model. The record is from RNAcentral.
GCCUCCCUCCGCCGCCAUCAGACUCCUACGGGACGGCAGCAGGUGGGGAAGUUAGUUGGACAAUGGGACGAAAGACCUGAUCCAGCAAUGCCGCGUGUGUGAAGAAGGUCGUUCGGAUUGUAAAGCACUUCGACGGGACGAUGAUGACGGUACCGUAGAAGAAGACCCGGCUAACUUCGUGCCAGCAGCCGCGGUAAUAC